UGAGUAACCUGCCCUUAACCCUGGGAUAAGCCUGGGAAACUGGGUCUAAUACCGGAUAUGACUCCUCAUCGCAUGGUGGGGGGUGGAAAGCUUUAUUGUGGUUUUGGAUGGACUCGCGGCCUAUCAGCUUGUUGGUGAGGUAAUGGCUCACCAAGGCGACGACGGGUAGCCGGCCUGAGAGGGUGACCGGCCACACUGGGACUGAGACACGGCCCAGACUCCUACGGGAGGCAG
This 234-nucleotide ribosomal RNA is filed under the name uncultured bacterium. RNAcentral's name for it is "partial 16S ribosomal RNA". It matches the Rfam family "Bacterial small subunit ribosomal RNA", at positions 118 to 351 of the family's 1533-position model. The record is from RNAcentral.